Molecule: ribosomal RNA, 329 nt
Filed under: uncultured eukaryote
Lineage: Eukaryota
Description: partial 18S ribosomal RNA
Rfam family: Eukaryotic small subunit ribosomal RNA
Source: RNAcentral
CCCUUAGAUGUUCUGGGCCGCACGCGCGCUACACUGACGAUGGCAACGAGUUUUUCCUUCGCCGAAAGGUGGGGGUAAUCUUUUGAAACAUCGUCGUGCUGGGGAUAGAUCAUUGCAAUUUUUGAUCUUGAACGAGGAAUUCCUAGUAAGCGCGAGUCAUCAGCUCGCGUUGAUUACGUCCCUGCCCUUUGUACACACCGCCCGUCGCUACUACCGAUUGAAUGGUUUAGUGAGGACUCCUGAUUGGCGCCGCCGCCCCGGCAACGGAGCAGCGGACUGCCGAAAAGUUGUUCAAACUUGAUCAUUUAGAGGAAGUAAAAGUCGUAACA